UCUGGCUCUGCCAUGUGACGCUGCCUCAGCAUGGCUUGAUGAAUGGUACUAGGUCCGCGCCCAGGAUCCGAACUGGUGAAACCCUGGGCUGCCGAUGUGGAGCACGUGAACUUAACCACUCAGCCACAGGGCCGGCACCUAUUUAUACUACUUUUUAAGGAAAGAGUAUGUUAGAAUAAAAUAAUAUGUCUACUUUAACAAAAUAAUCCAAUUUACAAGGAGGGCUGUUACUCAAAUCUAACAUUAAAUUAACAUUAAGGCACUCUUUGAACAAAGUAUAAAUUAAUAGAUAUUUUAUCUUUUAGAAUUAAGGCAGAAGAUAAUAACAAACCCAAGUUAGAAAUCUCAAAAUAAUUGUGAGUCUUCUCACCACCCCCCUCACACACACAGCCACCUCUCCCAUCCAUGCUGCACACUGUAGGGAGAGUUAUUUUUCUAAAAUAAAAAUAUGAUAAUUCCCAUGCCCAUCUCAAAAAGUUCCAAUGGCUUUCACCAUUACCUAAAAAUAAUGUACCAAUGCCUUCUCAAUUUGGCUGGAAUUUAGCUUUCUUGCCUUAUUUCUUGCCAAUUCUCACUCCUUUUUACCUCUCUCAUCACUCAGGAAGCUUCCACUCCAGUCCAAGCAGAUCACUCAGGGUUCCCCUAACAUUUGUUGCUACUGUCAGUCCUUUGCCUAAAUGCUCCUUGUCAUUUCUCCACGCAACUCAAACCAUCCUUCUAGACCUAAUGCAAGUGAUGCCCUCUUCCCUUCCCCAUGGCACGUUGUCAUUUCUCAACAAUGGAAUUCUUUAAAACUUCUAACAGGUGUUUUUGUCACUUGCAUAGAUAUCUGUAACAUACACUAGCUUCUGGGCUCAAAUUUUAUCCAUCUUUUGCAACAUAGAAUCAUGCCCCUAAUUGGGGAACAAGAAAUGUUGGAUUUGAAUUAAGUGAUCACAGAGAGUAUGCUUUUGACACUAAUUUGCCUUGGGAAGCUGAGAAUAAUAUCUACACUGGCCACUCUUUACAUUUUCUGUAUGUUGAAGGAAUUUAGUUGGAAGUGGUGCAUAGGAUUCUCAAAGACACCAAUUCCUUUAGCUGAUCUCUGGAAUCGUUUUUCUUAAAGCUCUUUUCUCCCUCCAAUCCCAGCUCAGACUAAAGAAAACAUCACUCUCUUUGACCACUCUGUUACAGUUGUAAGUGAUGACACUUCAUCCAGCGAUUCGGCUAUUGAGGGGUUAAACCUGGUAACAGAUGAAGCAGGGGGUUUGCAGCCAACUUCAGGAAUGGUCUCCUCUUGCAAGUGUUUUAAACGUCCCGGGCAAACUGCUAGGUCUGGAUCAUGGGCUUCUCCCUCAACGUUGCCUCUGCGGCUGUGUGGUAGCGUGAGACUGAUAACAGCACCACACAUAGCACCUGCCGUGCAGCAGGCAGUGUCCUGAGAGCUUUUCUCACAUGUCUCAUUUAGUUCUCACUAUGACCCCGCAAGGUCAUCCAGCUAGUUAGUGGCUCGGAGCCUCACUUCAGCAGCCUGGCUCCAGGUGUGUGCUCUUAACACCU
RNAcentral lists this long non-coding RNA (1539 nucleotides) under Equus caballus (horse). Its description in RNAcentral is "lncRNA (ENSECAG00000057799.1)". Lineage: Eukaryota; Metazoa; Chordata; Mammalia; Perissodactyla; Equidae. The record is from RNAcentral.